RNAcentral lists this ribosomal RNA (486 nucleotides) under uncultured bacterium. RNAcentral describes it as "bacterial SSU rRNA". It matches the Rfam family "Bacterial small subunit ribosomal RNA", at positions 28 to 510 of the family's 1533-position model. The record is from RNAcentral.
GAUGAACGCUAGCGGCAGGCUUAACACAUGCAAGUCGAGGGGCAGCAAGGGUAGCAAUACCUGUUGGCGACCGGCAAACGGGCGCGGAACACGUACGCAAUUUACCCUGGUCUGGGGGAUAGCCCGGAGAAAUCCGGAUUAACACCCCAUAAGAUAUUAGAGUGGCAUCACUUAGAUAUUAAAUCUCCGGAGGACCGGGAUGAGCGUGCGUCCCAUUAGCUAGUUGGCGGGGUAAAGGCCCACCAAGGCGACGAUGGGUAGCUGGUGUGAGAGCACGACCAGCCACACGGGCACUGAGACACGGGCCCGACUCCUACGGGAGGCAGCAGUGAGGAAUAUUGGUCAAUGGACGCAAGUCUGAACCAGCCAUGCCGCGUGAAGGAUGAAGGCCUUCUGGGUUGUAAACUUCUUUUAUUAGGGAAGAAAAUUAUGGUUUCUACUAUAACCGACGGUACCAAGGAAUCAGCACCGGCUAACUCCGUGCCA